GAUGACGUCACGGUUUAGGAAGAAGUGAGUUAAUGUUUACGAAGUCUCGGUGAAGUUAGGUGUCAUUUGUUUGGGAUCAGAACAUUUGUGAGCCAUCACCACAAUGUGGGUUCGUCCGGAAGAGGUUCUCAUUGCGAAUGCACUUUGGAUCACGGAGCGAGCGAACCCGUAUUUUGCCCUCCAGAGGCGGAAGGGACAUGGAGGGGGUGGGUUGACUUCUCUUGUUAUUGGAACUCUGGACUCGGUCCUUGACAACAAGUCUGCUCCGUACCGUAUCCUUCAUCAGACGCCGCAAUCGGAGCUUUACCAUACUAUUGCAACAGCUCUUCACAAGAAAGACAUCAUUAAGCACUGGGAAUGGAUUGAACAGAAUCUCAUGGUUACUCUUGGUAAGAUUUACUCUAAAGCAGCCUUCUCAAUUACUUUUGUGAAAGCUCCAUAUUUCUUGUUGGGAAUCUGUUCUGCUCCACUAGCACGAAGGAGCGGCCUUUUAUAUGAAGAGGGGAUUUAAUCAAUAUAUCAACAGAAGUGAUACAGAUGCAAACAAACUACACAAUCCAUUUUUUUUAAUGAUAAGUGACUUUUCAAAACAUAUAUUGGUGAUACCACUAGUUCAGAUAUAGAGAUCGAAGUGACAUGUACUUGUUUUUGCUGCUAGGGCAGAAAAUUAUCUCACCUAUCUAUCUCAUGUAUCAUUCAUUAUAUGCGCGACUCCACGACAGACAAUACAUCGCAGCAUGUCACUUUUACAACCUUGGAUUUUGAAUAAUCGGUAUCAGAAACAAAGUUUAUGAUUGUCAAUACAGGUGUACGUCUAAAAUUCCUUACUUCAUUCCCGUAUUAUUUGAUGGUUAAAACUUAACCGACUUACAUUUCGUGAUGCUACAAUAAAAUGCAAAUUAAGAACUUGAUUUUAUAUCUGUAUGCCACAUUUUCCAAUAAGAUGUUCUUUGCCCGGAGCCCAAGUUAUUAAUCAAACUAUGGCUUGCCAUGUAUAAGAGUUCUGUUCAAUCAUGGAUUUAUUUUCAUCAUUUCAAGUGCUGCAUCUGAGCAAUUCUACCAAUUUUCAGUGUAUAAUCUGGAAAUGCGAAAUUACGAGCCGUAGAAAUAGUUGAAAACGUGAUACAUGUAGAUUUCAGAUCACUUGUGAUCAUCUUUUAGAGAUAAUUUGCGUAUCUCUAUCAUUGUGAUGGCAUGCACAUACUCUUUGUUACGGUUGCACACACAUACACCAAGCAUAGAACAAAUAAAAAUAAAACCAAUGAGGACUUAAGUUUCAAAUAUAACUCGGUUUUUGUUUUCCCUUUGUUAUGAAAUUAUCAUCAAAAAUCGAUUCCAGGUUACUAGUAGACCAAACGUUCCCGCCAUGUACAUGUACAGGUGUAUUUUUUUUCGUACCGGCUCUCAAGCGCCACUCCGCAAGGCUCGGUGCGCCACAAGUGGCGCGCGCCACCAUUUUAGAAUCCCUGCUCUAUUAAAGGAAAGAACUAUAGGAGAGAAGGAUUGAAAAAGAGGGAAUGAAACCAGUUUACAGUUUCAUUUCAAAGUUAUAUCCAAGAAACUGAUCAAUGGAAGUUUUUUGAGAAAUGUUGAAUAAAAUAACAAAGUUAUGAUCCUUUCAAUGGAUGAUCAUAAUUAUUUUUGAACUCAAUUUAAGAGUGUAACCAUAACUGGCAUAAUUUAAAAUGAUUUAUAGUAUUAAUAGGAGCAUAUCUACUCGUACAUAAUUUACAACUUACAUAAAAUGUAGCAAUCUUAAAGGGCAAAUCCACUCCAACAACAACAAAAUUGGAUGCAAAAAAGUCAAGCAAACAUAACUCUGACAAAUAAUUAACAAUUGAUGUGAAUUAUUCUCAAAUUUUACUAAUUUUCACAAAACAGAUUUAUGAACAUCUGAUGACCUCCUCCACUCAGUAUUUCUUUAGAUUUUUUUUAUUGUAGAAAGUGAAAUAUUUAAGUUUUCUCCUAAAUAUGAAAAACAAAAUUUGAUUCCUCUCUGAACUUUAUAUAGAAUUGCCAUUAUUAUAAUUAAUUAUGAUCAAAUGAAGAGUGACCUUAUUGCCAAAUCUGCAAAUUUCAAAACAAUGAAAUAUAGUAAGAGGGAGUACAGUAGUGAGUGAGUGACAUCACUGACUCUAAUUAAUUAGCCUUUCGCUGUGUUUUACAUAAAUGUUUAUCUGUUUUGUGAAAAAUCAGUGAAAUUUCAAAAUGUAAAUAACUUUCUUAUUUUACAUAAGAUUUUUAAUGAAAAUUUUGUGCAUUAAAUGCUUGUUUCAUAUUUUUUUCUCAUUUUAUCAGAAAACCAAAUUUUUAUUGGGUUGAACUUGCCCUUUAAACUGUGACGUGUUUGUACAAACUGCAGUGAGUUUUUCCGUUUACAUAUAUCAUAUUACGAGUGGUGAUUAAAAGAGAUCAAAGGAAAUGACCUGUAGAUUGCAGGAAGUUCAAGGGAGCAUUUCAUGAACAAAGAGACUGUGAUUUUUUAACUGAUUACUGUUGUAAGCUACUAAAAUCCUUGCAUCUGGUUGGCUGAGAGUGAAUUGGUCAGUGAAUUGGCUGAAUUGGCUGAGAGUGAAUUGAUCCUUUCGAAGAGGCGUGUCCUCAAGGGGUCAAAGUUGGGCAUUGAGGAGGAUCUAACCAGGCCCAACGCACAACUUCUAUACAAAGUGAAAAACUGUCAAAAGGUUCUUGCUUCGUGGUCCGCUGACGGAAGGAUUUUCGCGUUGCUCCCAGCCAGUGGCGGAAAAACAAUAAAACGUCUCAUCACGCAUGAAGGAGACUUGGACAAUAUUUGAUCAGUUUGAAAAUAAACUCAGUUGUACUUUGCUAUGUAUGCAAUAUUGUACUCUUUGAACUUUGGUGCAUCCUGCUAUUUUAGCUCUUGCCUGUUUGAACUUUGAUUUUAAUUUCAUUCAGUAAUUUAUUUAUUUGUUUGUUUAUCUAUUUUUUUUUCCGUUUCAAUGGUCAGGGUUUUUUCUUGUGUUAGUUGUUCUAAACCUGUAAAACACAACCAAAAGGGAAUACGUUGUACAAUAUGUCAUAAAUGGGUUCACAUCGCAUGUGUUGGAAUUAGUAUUGUUGAUUAUGAUGAUCCAUUAUGUGAAUUUUUAGACUGGAAAUGUCCCAAAUGUUUGUUUCAAUAUUUGCCUAACUACAUAUCUGAUGAAGAUAAUGACAAGACUUGCUCAUUCGUAGCAUCCACACAAUCUUCGUUCAUUCAGUCUCAUCCUGAUAAACAGGGAGAUAAAAAUCUGAAAUUCAAAGAACUAAAUCACCCAAAAGGUCUCAUAGUGCUACAUUUGAAUGUUCGCAGUUUACUCCGCAAUUUUUCAGAAAUCAAGACUAUAUUGAUAGAAAAUAAUGU
This is a long non-coding RNA of Lytechinus pictus (painted urchin), 3364 nucleotides long. RefSeq lists it as uncharacterized. Lineage: Eukaryota; Metazoa; Echinodermata; Echinoidea; Temnopleuroida; Toxopneustidae. The transcript is spliced from 3 exons. The record is from RefSeq and is a predicted model, not a curated record.